CAACAUUCUUUUUCAUGUCUAGAUGGCCUUGUUGAUUUACAGAACAAACAUAAUGGAAGCGUAUUCUACACGCACAUAUUCACUCGGGCCAACCGUGUGACUCAUUUGGAAAAAGGACUCAUCGUCGGUUUCAUGGCAGCGAAGUGAGCAGACAAAAAAGGCAUCGUUUUUUUUCCACAUGAUCGUUCUGAGCAAAAUUCAGCGAUUUGCCAGGCAUAAACCACCGAUGAGACAGUACCCGUUCGGAUUCAGGACGUUUUCCCAUACAUUGUACCCGGUCGAAGCGAUGGCAAGCGAUGUAGAUAACUGGGUCAAAAAGGCGGAGGUUCUGGGAAUUUCUGCACUCGUUAGCGAUCUGAGUAUGACCAAGGACAAGGAAUCAGAACCGGCGACUGACAGUCCAGAGAAAGAGAAUGCGGAAAAACCUUCUAGUCCAUAGCUCCUGAAGAAAAACGAGCUGAAGCGAAUAUGGAGAAACAGUUUCCUCCACGGAAAAUGCAGAGGCAUGCAACGCGGCGGAUGCAAGUUUGCUAAUUGAAAUUAUUCGCAAAGAUCUAGUAGAAUUAAAACUGGAGGUGCUGCGAAACGAUCCUUUUUCGACGCUAUACUCGGUUAAAACUAUCGACGCUUUGCACCUGAUGCCGGAACUGCCCACCCCGAGAGCAGAUGAGCGCUGGGGAAUGUUUUCAGCCACCUGGAGGAGGAAGUUCAGCGCGGAAGAAAUGUUAGCAGACUUCGCCGAUCUGGUAUCUGGACAUUUUUGAUGAUCUCAUAGAGAUUGGGUGUGCAGAUGGGCGUUUAAAGUUCUGGGAGGGAACGACUGGUAACUUUUAGGAUAUAUAUGAAGCUGAAAACAACCACAACAAUGGGGUAACUAACAUAAACCUCGCCGGUGACAAAGUGAUAGUCGCACGGUUGAGUGAACGAAUCGAUUUUCUGAGACUGCAAACGUACACGUAAGGUUUUCAGAUCGAUUGGGGAUUUACGUCUGCAUAUGGGCGAAGUAAGUUCUAUGUUUCAAGCAAUUUUUUAAGCUCACCUAGGGCGCAGACAGAUUUUACUUGUUCUUUUAAAAUACUGUAUAUUCUAAGUCAUUUAAUUUUCAGUCUGUAAUGAGUAUGUCAUCAAGUGCCUUAAUUCUUUUUCUUUUUAGCCCACGUACGCAGCGGUUCGGCAGGAAGCAUUAGUUUAUUUCAGCAACCCGCCGGCUCAAAUCCGUCCACAGCGUUGCCAGCUCAACAUCACGCAUCCGAGGAGGAGCUUCGAUGUAUCCUGGAGUUUCACCAGCAGGGUCACCGGUGACAUGUUUGGAAGUGGCGGGCGGUACAGUCAUUACUGGCAGCCAGGGCCACACUGUUAACGUGUUCCGGCUUGAUAGCCACCUAUUGCAGUUCACCCUAAACGGCCAUUGCGGUCCUAUCACAUGUAUUUUCAUAGACCAGUGGCAGGCCGAGAUGGGCGCAUCUGGUUGCCAGGAUGGUGUGCUAUGUGUGUGGGACUUGAUACGGGGUGCCUGUAUGUACAAAAUUGAAGCCCAUGACGACAUGACGUCGCACUUGCCUGUUCCCCGAGUUACGCAAU
This is a long non-coding RNA of Topomyia yanbarensis, 1581 nucleotides long. RefSeq lists it as uncharacterized. Lineage: Eukaryota; Metazoa; Arthropoda; Insecta; Diptera; Culicidae. The transcript has 5 exons. The record is from RefSeq and is a predicted model, not a curated record.